UGCAGUCGAGCGAAGAACAGAUAAAGCUUGCUUUAUUUGUUACUGAGCGGCGAACGGGUGAGUAAUACUUGGAUAAUCUGCCUCUAGGACCGGGAUAACCUCAGGAAACUGAGACUAAUACCGGAUGUGACCACGGACACUAAGGUGUCAGUGGUAAAAUGUUUUUUCGCCUAGAGAUGAGUCCAAGUCGCAUCAGGUUGUUGGUAAGGUAAAGGCUUACCAAGCCUAUGACGCGUAGCAGGUCUUAGCGGAUGAUCUGCCACAUGGGGACUGAGAUACGGCCCUGACUCCUACGGGAGGCAGCAGUGAGGAAUAUUGGGCAAUGGACGAAAGUCUGACCCAGCGAUGUCGCGUGAAGGAUGAAGGCCUUCGGGUUGUAAACUUCUGUCAGCAGGGAAGAUAGUGACGGUACCUGCAGAGGAAGCCCCGGCUAACUCCGUGCCAGCAGCCGCGGUAAUACGGAGGGGGCAAACGUUACUCGGAUUUACUGGGCGUAAAGGGUUCGUAGGCGGUUAUUUAAGUUAGAUGUGAAAGCUUGAAGCUUAACUUCAAAAUUGCAUCUAAAACUGGAUUACUAGAUUCUUAGAGAGGUUAAUGGAAUUACCGGUGUAGCGGUGAAAUGCGUAGAUAUCGGUAGGAACACCAGUGGCGAAAGCGAUUAACUGGCUAAGUAAUGACGCUGAGGGACGAAAGCGUGGGUAGCAAACAGGAUUA
RNAcentral lists this ribosomal RNA (714 nucleotides) under uncultured bacterium. RNAcentral's name for it is "bacterial SSU rRNA". It matches the Rfam family "Bacterial small subunit ribosomal RNA", at positions 56 to 780 of the family's 1533-position model. The record is from RNAcentral.